Molecule: small nucleolar RNA, 80 nt
Filed under: Microcebus murinus (gray mouse lemur)
Lineage: Eukaryota; Metazoa; Chordata; Mammalia; Primates; Cheirogaleidae
Description: Small nucleolar RNA SNORD74 (ENSMICG00000021188.3)
Rfam family: Small nucleolar RNA SNORD74
About the family: Z18 also identified as U74 (SNORD74) belongs to the C/D class of snoRNA which contain the C (UGAUGA) and D (CUGA) box motifs. Most of the members of the box C/D family function in directing site-specific 2'-O-methylation of substrate RNAs.
Source: Rfam by way of RNAcentral
UCUAUGAGCUUCUGAUGAAGCCUACAUUUGUAGGGACAUAUGAGAGUGCUGAUGAAUGCCAACCCCUGUGAUGGGAAAAA